UUCGGAGCUGGGGCCUUGCACUUCCUAGGCAAGCGCUCUACCACUGAGCUAAAUCCCCAACCCCCUGCUUCAGCUUUUGAAGGGAGCUUUUAGCGGACACACCUGCCAUGCCAAGUGUAGUUGGAACAUUGACCCCAAGGAGAAACGUCCUUCUUUCAUCCAGUAGGUUGGAGUUUCCAAACCAGACCCCGCACUCUUAGACCUAACCAGGAGGGCAGACUUGUCGGUUUGAUUUUUCCACUCGAUGUUACUUUCAGAUGGCCACGCGGCGAAUUCCCUUUGAGGUUUCCAGUCUUAUAACGCAAGUCUCAGCACACUUUGCUCUGCAACAUCUCAUCUGUAGAAAAUCCCCAAGUCUCCGAGGCGUCGUCGUUUACUCAUCAUGGCACCCUGAGAAUCCCAGCAGGCUCAGGAAUCAGCUCAAACGCGGGGAUUCGCUCUGCCGAAGCCCUUAUUAGCUAAAAGCCUGCUAUAAAGACACACUCAGCUCUGGUGCGUGGUGCACACACCUGUGCGCCCAGUACUCAGGAGGCAAGGAAACACUGGAUUAUUGUAGUAUAAAAGUGGUCGGAUGACAUGCUUUCCUCAUGCACGUGCUAAUGAGAAUGCUGGGAAACGAGAACACUUAUUUAUUUAUUGUUGCUGGGAGUGCAAACUUGUACAGCCACUAUGGAAAUCAGUGUGGAGGUUCUUCAGAAGGUAAGAACUGAUCUGUCGAAAAGUCCAGCGAUGCCAUUCUUGAAUGUGAACUCAAAGGUCUUUCCAUCCUAUGACAGAGACACUCACUCAUCUAUGUUUACUGCUUUAUUCACGAGGGCCAGAAAUUGGAAGCAGCCUAGAUGGUAGUCAACCCAGGAAUGAAUAAUGGAGACGUGGUACAUUUACACAAAGGAACAUUAUUUAACUGUUUAGAAAAAAUAAAUUGACAAGGAAAUGGGUGGAGUAAGAAAAAGACAUCAUCCUGAGUAAAGUAAUCCAGACCCUGAAAUAUAAAUAUGGUUUGUGUUCUCUUAUAGGAGGGUGAUAGCUUCUUAGCCUUUGACACGUGUGCUACAAUAAGAAUAGCCACAGAAGUCAGGUACCUGGUAAGGCACUAGGCAGGCGCAUACAACCCCCAAGGAAGGGGAGAUAGAAUAUAUUGUUAUGAAAAGGAGAAUUAAAUAGGAGGAAGGUUGAAAGAGAAGGGUGGAAGGAGGACUGUGGGGAUGACGACUCACACUAAAGGUCAUUUGAAAAAGUCUAUGAAAAUCUCCUACUGUAGAAGUCUCCUAAAAUGUGUACCUAUGUGAAAUGAAUCCAAAUGUACUCACCAAAUGA
This 1317-nucleotide small RNA is filed under the name Rattus norvegicus (Norway rat). RNAcentral describes it as "uncharacterized LOC103691422". Lineage: Eukaryota; Metazoa; Chordata; Mammalia; Rodentia; Muridae. The record is from RNAcentral.